Molecule: RNase P RNA, 339 nt
Filed under: Clostridiales bacterium
Lineage: Bacteria; Bacillati; Bacillota; Clostridia; Eubacteriales
Description: RNase P RNA component class A
Rfam family: Bacterial RNase P class A
About the family: Ribonuclease P (RNase P) is a ubiquitous endoribonuclease, found in archaea, bacteria and eukarya as well as chloroplasts and mitochondria. Its best characterised activity is the generation of mature 5'-ends of tRNAs by cleaving the 5'-leader elements of precursor-tRNAs. Cellular RNase Ps are ribonucleoproteins.
Source: RNAcentral
UCGGGCGGCCAGACGAUCGCGUGGCAUAGGCCAUGAGGAAAGUCCGAGCAUCGCAGAGCAGGAUGCCGGUUAACGACCGGUGGAGGCAACUUCAAGGAGAGUGCAACAGAGAUAUACCGCCAUGGGCAACCAUGGUAAGGCUGGAAAGGCGAGGUAAGAGCUCACCCAUGCGCUUGGUAACAGGCGCGUGCUGCAAACCCCAUCCGAUGCAAGAUCCGAUCAGAAACAAUACGGCUGCUCGUCGUGUUUCUAAAGAGAUCGCUUGAGCCGUGUGGCAACAUACGGACCAGAUAGAUGAUCGUCCAACGACAGAACUCGGCUUACGACCGCACCGAUAGC